Helianthus annuus (common sunflower) is the source of this 502-nucleotide long non-coding RNA. RefSeq lists it as uncharacterized. The record is from RefSeq and is a predicted model, not a curated record. Lineage: Eukaryota; Viridiplantae; Streptophyta; Magnoliopsida; Asterales; Asteraceae. The transcript is spliced from 3 exons.
GAGAGAGAGGCAGGAAAGAGACACGGCGGCGACGUUUAGGGUUCCGCCGCAAACAAAACGACGGUGACGACUGUGGUUGACGUCGCAAGCUCCGGUUCCGGCAAGAGAUAAGUGGAUGCUAUUGUGGUUAAUAGUCAUGAUAAGAGGAUGCAAUGACUUUUGUGUAUUCCUUUUUGUCACCGUCCCUUCUACCGCCUUACCUAACCUUCUAAUUCGGCCGUUUCGAACCUCCUUCAACCGGGUUUCAAGGUGGUGGUGAAAGCCUGAAUCAACUCUAUAAACGUUGUACAAAUUCACUGCAAGCGAUUGGCAGUAAACACCAAGGGGAGCGGGUUGUGGUGGUGACUCAUGGUGGUGUGAUCAGAGCACUUCAUGAGUGGGCUUCUUUAGGUACAGGACACCGAGCAGGAAGGAUACUGAACAGUCAAUGUAUUACACUUAUCGGAUCCCGACAAAUAGGUCAUCAAAUCAUGGGGGGAUGUCAGUCAGUCAUCUGAAUGGA